This 6576-nucleotide long non-coding RNA is filed under the name Triticum aestivum (bread wheat). RNAcentral's name for it is "long non-coding RNA (TAES_LNC003990)". Lineage: Eukaryota; Viridiplantae; Streptophyta; Magnoliopsida; Poales; Poaceae. The record is from RNAcentral.
GUAAUCAGUUGCUAAUAUUUUUAUUUGGAUCUGUUCUUGCAGUGUAGGCGAGAUCGAUGAACGCUUGGGAGAAGUGUGGCAUACAUAUAUGUUGCAGGGUUUGGAGCGUGUGGUAGCAUAUGUAUGUAAUGCGUGACAUGUCUCAUGGAUCUUGUGAUGUAUAAUAAUUAGCCGGCUGCACUGCACUGCACGGUGCUUGUAAUAAUAACGUUAAUGAAUCAUGUUGGUAUUGAUGCAUCUCCGUUGGUAAUUUGGUAUACCCAUGUUUUCUAAGCUUUUUGUGCAUGUGGCGUCUCUGUUCCAUCUCUGGAAGCAGUUUUGUUUUUGUUUUUGACAAACUGGAUGCGGUUAGAAACAUGUUGAAUGAUUAUUGGUGUUCUGUUUUCCUCGUCCUUUUCAGUUUCAGAAGUUGUGUGGUGCUCGGUUUUUCUUUCAGAGUUUUGCUUGUUUGCAGCUUUCCUCUGUUUUUCAUUCUCGGAUUUGUGCCCGGUAUUAAUUCCAGGAAUGCAAAAAUCGAAGUUGGAGUAGUAUAUUUACUUAUAUAAUACUAUAUCGCAUCGCAUUUGGGAUCAUCACCCAUGUUAUCAUCAAAAAGAUGAUUCAGCACCCAUGCUAGAUAAGCUAUACUAAUUAAAUUUAGCCCCGUGUCAUUGCGGGCUAAUAAGGUGCUAGCUGAAGGUGCCAGGUAUCGCUGCUGCUCUCCGAAACUAAAUAUUCAUGAUACUGGAUCUCUCUCGCGCAGCACGUCAUCCUCUCCUAACUGAACUUCUUCCAUCAUAUAGUCUUGAACUGUUUUACGCAUAAGAAAAUGGUUAAUUCCCGAGGCCUCUCAAUUCUAGAUAGUGCAAUGCAUUGAGCAUCAGAUGAGAAGACGAUAGAAAAUGAGAGAGUAUCCCAUUUGAUUCGGAGCUAGCUAGUCCAUUUGAGGUAGAUCGAGGAGAGGGAGAGGAUAUUAUAUACACACACACACACGGGAAGAUGACCGGUGUAGAAUUGAACGUGGUGGGUGGAAUUCUGAUCUCACACCUACUAUCUCUAUUCCAAAAUAUAAGACGUUUAGCCUACCAAAACGUCUUAUAUUUUGGAAUGGAGGUAGUAUCAUAGCUGCAUAACCCAUGUGAGUUUUCAAAAGGCAACAACUCAAGAGAAAUGAAAGAUAGCAACGGUUGGGACCAGAGAUGUCACGUGAUUUGAUGACCUCGGUUUUCUAAAAGAUGUACGUAGUCACGGGAAGAGAUAGGAAAUAUGAGAUGAGGGCUAUUUUUAAAGAACCUCUAGACUUAGUACCACACUAGAUGGAAUAGGAUACACAACUAAAUCUGAAUCCUCUAUUGAUGGAGGGUUAGGCUCUGUUUUUGCUGAAAAAGGAUCUUGGGAUAAUUCAGCGCUUACUAUGCUUGCCACAUGGUGAUCGGGGCUAAUUACCGUCUAAUCAAAAGCAUGUAGGUGAAACAAAGUAUUUAACUAUAGUGUAUAAUUUCAAAAGUUAGCGUCGACAUUUCCUGUAGUGGGAAUAUACAUGAUCGAUAGUCAUAGAAGAUCGAGUGGCUUCACCGUAGGAGAUCAUCUCCACUCCACUUCCCCAUCUCACUCGCAUGCCGCCUCGUUCCCAUCCAUGUCCUCGCCGCCACGUUAAUGCCUUUGCAACUCAUGCAUUACACAACCUCUAGUUCUUUCUUUAGGAUCAUGUAUUUCUAGUGUAUUGGUUCAUCUCGAAUAACACUUCAUCAUUGUAGAGAGGGCCACCAACAUCUGAAGUGCCAUCGUUUACUGUCACUUAUACAACCGAAAAAGGACGCGACAUUAUUGUUCAUGGUUAGGCAGGGGCAGAAUUAGGAUUUUNNNNNNNNNNNNNNNNNNNNNNNNNNNNNNNNNNNNNNNNNNNNNNNNNNNNNNNNNNNNNNNNNNNNNNNNNNNNNNNNNNNNNNNNNNNNNNNNNNNNNNNNNNNNNNNNNNNNNNNNNNNNNNNNNNNNNNNNNNNNNNNNNNNNNNNNNNNNNNNNNNNNNNNNNNNNNNNNNNNNNNNNNNNNNNNNNNNNNNNNNNNNNNNNNNNNNNNNNNNNNNNNNNNNNNNNNNNNNNNNNNNNNNNNNNNNNNNNNNNNNNNNNNNNNNNNNNNNNNNNNNNNNNNNNNNNNNNNNNNNNNNNGGAGGAGCAACAAAAGUGGCGCCACGCUUGUUGUAGGCUGCUAUCGGCAGAGUAGGUCGCUCUCGCCAACUAGAUGCCUCGGCUUCUCGCCGAUGACGCAAAUGUAAAUUGGCACUUGGGGAUGGGUUGUAUAUUGCAGCACAUUGUAGUUCUCAGGUGCAGCACAACUCAAAGAAAACUGCUACAUUUCGGCACACAUAAGUAUGGAGUUAGUUCCCGAGGCUUCUCAUUUCUAAUUACUGUAAAGUAAUUGAGCUUCAGAUGAGGGGAUCGUAGUGGAAGAGAGAUCAGCUCAUUCAAAGCUAGCUUGUCAUGUACUUGAAGUAGAUCCAGGAGAAGGGGAUGAUACUAUAUAUACAUGAGGGGAGCCUGUUUUUACAAAGAGAAAUAUGUGGUGCAGAAUUUAAUGUUGGGGGUGAAUUUAUGAUCUCACUCCUAAGAAAGUUGCCCAAGACAUGAGAGCACUGAGAAGGCUACAUGUCGAUUCAAUGACAAAUACCUACCGAAUGGCACGAGAAAUUACAUAUUGUUUGAUACCUUCCAUUUUUUGAAAGAUGCACAUAGCCAUAGGUAGAGAUGGAAAAGAUGAUCCAGCUAGCAAGAUUUUAGGACCCUCAGUCUUACCACACUCGCUCGGAUGCCGCUAGUACUCCUACCAGAAACAACAACGCCAUGGCCAGCAUCAUCCAUAAGAUCGAGGAGAAGCUCCACACGGAGUAAAUUGCAAAAAACCAUCACAAUUGAGGACCCUAAUUCAGAAAACCUCUUUCGUUUUUUCCCUUCAAAUGGGGUCCGCUGUAAGUGGUGAUGUGCCACCGAAAUCUUGCGGUGUUUGUCCUGUACGGUAGCCUGCACAUGGGAUCCACACGUCGGCCUGUGCACUUCUUCCUUCCCCUCGAGCGCCGGCAGGAGAAAAAAACGACUGAGCGAGCUCUGACCGCGCUCCAGCAGUGUGCACGUACGAGUGGUGGUCACCGUCACCAUGCGCGUGUCAACUUUUUCUUUUCUCCUUCUCCUCUGUGCAUGGGUUCUUCGCUUGUUCGAUCUAAACUCUUCUUUUUAAUUUGUUUUUGCACUGCAGGUGAGAUGAAGGCUUGUGUGAAUUUGGAGCAUGUGGCAGCAUAUGUAUGCAAUGCGUGACAUGUCUCAUGGAUCUUGUGAUGGAAUAACCGGCUGCACUGCACUGCAAGGUGCUUGUAAUAAUAACGUUAAGGAAUCAUGUUCGUAUUGAUGUAUCUCCAUUGGUAAUUUGGUACCACCAUAUUGUCCAAGCUUUUUGUGUAUGUGGUGUCUCUGUUCAUCUUUGGAUCUCUCCGCCCGAGCGUGAUUAACAGCUGGGGAUUGUUUAGGAAUGGUUAUUGGUGUUCUGUUUCUCCUCCUUUCAGUUUCAGAACCUGUGUGGUGCUCUGUUUUCUUUUUCCCAGAGUUUUUGUUUGCAACUUUCCUCUGUUUUCCGCUUUCAGAUUUGGGCCCGGUAUUAAUUUUAGGAAUGCAAAAAUCAAAGUUAUUCCGUACAAGAGCCAACCACCACACGGUCUUCCUCUCUAUUUACUGAACACAUAUUGCAUCACAUUUGGGAUCAUCACCCAUGUUAUCAUCAAAAAGACGAUUCAGCACCCAUGCUAGAUUAGCUAUACUAAUUAAAUUGAGCCCCAUGUCAUUGCGGGCUAAUAUGGUGCUAAUUGAUGCUGCCAAGAGGUGCCAGGUAUCUUGACAGUUCUCCGAAACUAAAUAUUCAUGAUAGUUGAUCCGUCUUCGGCGGCAUGCCAUCCUCUUCUAACUGAACAUCUUCCAGCGUAUAGUCUUAAGCUGUCUUACGCAUAAGAAAAGGGUUAAUUCCUGAGGCCUCUCGUUUCUAGAUAGUGUAAUUAAUGCAUUGAGCAUUAGAUGAGAAGAUGAUAGAAAAUGGGAGAGUAACCCAUUCGAUUCAAACCUAGCUAGUCCAGUAGUGACAGGUCGAGGAGGGGGAGAGGAUAUUAUAUAGACAUGAGAGGAGAGGCUGCUUUUGUGAAGAUAUCUAGUGUAGAAUGGAACGUGGUGGGUGGAAUUCUGGUUUCAUAUCUGUCAUAGCUGCACAACCCAUGUGAGUUUUCAAAAGGCAACGACUCAAGAGAAAUGAAAGAUAGCCACGGUUGGGACCAGAGAUGUCACGUGAUUUGACGACCUCGGUUUUUCUAAAACAUGUACGUAGUCAUGGGAAGAGAGGAAAUAUGAGAUGAUGGCUCUUUUUGAAGAACCUCUCAGACUUAGUACCACACUAGAUGGAAUAUGAUAUACAACUAAAUCUGAAUCGUCGAUUGAUGGAGGGUUAGGCUCUCUCUUGCUGAAAAACAAUUUUGGGGUUAUUUAGUGCUUACUAUGCGUGCCACGUGGUAAUCGGGGCUAAUUUUCAUCUAAUCAAAAUCAUGUAUGUGAAACAGAGUUUUUAACUAUAGCGUAUAAUUUCAAAAGUUAGCAUCGACAUUUCCCAUAGUGGCAAAAUACACGAUCGAUAGUCAUAGAAGAUCGAAUGGCUUCGUUUCAGGUGAUCACCUCCACUCCACUUCCCCAUCUCACUUGCAUGCUGCUUGAUUCCCAUCCGCGUAACUCGUGCAUUACACAACCGUUAGUGCUCUCUUUAGGAUGGUGUAUUUCUAGUAUGUUUAUUCAUCUCGAAUAACAUUCACCACUGUAGAGAGGGCCAUCAACAUCUGAAGUGUUGUUGUUUAUUGUCAUUGAUCCAACCAAAAAAGGACGCGACAUUAUUGUUCAUGGUUAUGCAGGGAAAUAAUUUGGAUUUGGGCAUUGGGGAGGGGUGGAAAAAAUACAUUUCACUUGUCACACCAUGUUCAGAAUUGGCACCCAUGUUUUUUACAUAUCUUCACAUCCUAUAACCGAACCAAAAUCUCCAUCGCCUCCUUCUUCAAGUCAAUGAUUCAUAUUUGUCAAAUUGAGUGGACACAACAAAUCUUACAACAUAUAAGCAGUUUGUCUCAAGCGUCAAAUGUAUAUGGAUAUCCAAACCAAUAAGAAGACUCAUGACACACGCUUGAAUUUCAUCCUCCUGAACCGACCCAUGGCUAGGCAAGAACUCCCAAGUCAGAAGUGAUAAUGAUAUAUCUAGAACCCCGAGCCACCAAAGCAAUGGAACCGGAAUAAAGGCAACCAACAUCCACUUUAAUUUUAGCCCAUCUCAAUUAAGAGGGGGGGGGGAGCAAACUUGAUCACACUUCGUUCAGGGCAAUACAUAACAUGUCUAUCCAAGGGGCCUCAUUUUUUGGAGGGUGGGGGAGGGUAUGAGGCUAAUAAUAGAGAGAGAAUGAGCAAAAAAACACCACACAUAAGAUAGAACAAUCACAAUAUAUAAAGCUUAAGCAUAGCAUGCAGUGAUACUAUUGCGGCAACAAUAUACCUGGUGGGCGGCCGCGGCGCGGCGGCUGCGGCGGGUCAGAUCGGGCGGUGGUGGGCCGGCACGCCUCCGGCUAGAUCCGCGCGGAUUUGGUCCCUGGCAGUAGCGGACGUCGCGGGGUGGCGGCGCAGGUCCUCGUGGGCUCUGCAUCGAGGUGGAUUGCAGCGGUGGCUGCAACCACGUGGUCGGCCGGUCUGCGCGCGGCGGCGGCGGGACUUAGAUCCGGCGUCUGCUCGUCGGCGGCUUUCUCGGACGGCGACCCGUGUACGAGAGAUGGAGGUCUUCGAUCAGAUCUGGGUGAAAACCUGCUGUUGGCUAUUGCCAAGGCCGGCGAUGGCGACGCUGUCUGCAUCGUUCCCUUCCUGAAGGCAUCGUCGUGGAGAUGUUCAAGGCCACUCUCUGCUACCUCCGGGGGAAACCCUAGAUCAGUAGAUCGGAUGACGGCGGCUCUCUGGUGUCGUUUUCCCCCCUGGGGGCGUCAUUCUUGGAGGUGCACACGGGCUCGAGGGACUAGAGGACGGCGACUUUGGUGGAGCGGUGCUUCAUCUUUCACAUUGAUGGUGGCGGAUCUCGGCGGCAUGGUGCUGUGGAGACUCGGCGUCUGAUGCGCGGAGAUGGACUCGUGCAGGAGGAGGAAGCUGUCUGGCGUCAUGGGGACGUCGAUGGCAGAGUGGCCAGACAAGGUUGAAGCCUCAAUAUGAUAUGAAGACGGACCUGUGGAAGAUGGCGGCGACGACACACGAGUGCGUCUGACCGGAUUGUGCCCCAGACCCGGUAUGUGGCUCGGCUGGGGCUUCCGAAUGAGUUUCGGCUUCCGGCUUUUGAUGUUAGGCUUAGGUGAGUGGUUUGGGUAGUGGCCCAGCUAGCACCCCCUCAUCAUUUUGGAUAGGAGUAGCGACAUAUGUUGCCAAGAUGGUGGUUUCAGACACAUUGUUGUAACACUUUGUACGGUCCUCGAGUAUAAUCAAUAAAGUGGCCGCAUGCAUCUCCCAGAUGCAGAGGCCGGGGGUCAUCCUCCUUUUCUAAAAAAACAAAAAAAAAA